This 107-nucleotide small nuclear RNA is filed under the name Stegodyphus mimosarum. Lineage: Eukaryota; Metazoa; Arthropoda; Arachnida; Araneae; Eresidae. The record is from RNAcentral.
GUACUUGAUUUCGCAGUACGUAUACUAAAAUGGGAUCAAUUCAAAGAAGAUUAGAGUGGCCCGUUUGCAAGGAUGACUCUUGUAAAACAAAGUCUACUGCAGUCGCC